ACGUAGGAGGCAAGCGUUAUCCGGAGUUACUGGGCGUAAAGCGCGCGCAGGCGGUGCGUUAAGUGUAUUGUCAAAGACACAGGCUCAACCUGGGGCAGGCAAUACAGACUGACGGACUGGAGGCAGCUAGAGGGACGUGGAAUUCGGGGUGUAGCGGUGAAAUGUGUAGAGAUCCCGAGGAACACCAGCGGUGAAGACGGCGUCCUGGGGCUGACCUGACGCUGAGGCGCGAAGGCGUGGGGAGCGAACGG
RNAcentral lists this ribosomal RNA (251 nucleotides) under uncultured prokaryote. RNAcentral's name for it is "partial 16S ribosomal RNA". It matches the Rfam family "Bacterial small subunit ribosomal RNA", at positions 525 to 775 of the family's 1533-position model. The record is from RNAcentral.